UACGUAGGGGGCAAGCGUUGUCCGGAUUUACUGGGCGUAAAGAGCGUGUAGGCGGCCAUACAGGUCCGUUGUGAAAACUGGAGGCUCAACUUCCAGACGUCGACGGAAACCGUGUGGCUAGAGUCCGGAAGAGGAGAGUGGAAUUCCUGGUGUAGCGGUGAAAUGCGCAGAUAUCAGGAAGAACACCAAUGGCGAAGGCAGCACUCUGGGACGUGACUGACGCUGAGGAGCGAAAGCGUGGGGAGCGAACAGG
Molecule: ribosomal RNA, 253 nt
Filed under: uncultured bacterium
Lineage: Bacteria
Description: partial 16S ribosomal RNA
Rfam family: Bacterial small subunit ribosomal RNA
Source: RNAcentral